GGGCCCGUAGCUCAGCGGUCAGAGCAGCGGACUCAUAAUCCGACGGUCGUAGGUUCGAAUCCUACCGGGCCCAC
This 74-nucleotide transfer RNA is filed under the name bacterium HR18. RNAcentral describes it as "tRNA-Met". It matches the Rfam family "tRNA". From Rfam's summary of the family: Transfer RNA (tRNA) molecules are approximately 80 nucleotides in length. The record is from RNAcentral.